UACGUAGGGGCGAGCGUUGUCCGGAAUUAUUGGGCGUAAAGGGUUCGCAGGCGGCCUUGUAAGUCAGAUGUGAAAGACAGCGGCUUAACCGUUGUAAGCAUUUGAAACUGCAGGGCUUGAGUACAGGAGAGGAAAGCGGAAUUCCUAGUGUAGCGGUGAAAUGCGUAGAUAUUAGGAGGAACACCAGUGGCGAAGGCGGCUUUCUGGACUGAUACUGACGCUGAGGAACGAAAGCGUGGGGAGCAAACAGGAUUAGAUACCCUGGUAGUCCCU
RNAcentral lists this ribosomal RNA (273 nucleotides) under uncultured prokaryote. RNAcentral's name for it is "partial 16S ribosomal RNA". It matches the Rfam family "Bacterial small subunit ribosomal RNA", at positions 524 to 798 of the family's 1533-position model. The record is from RNAcentral.